RNAcentral lists this ribosomal RNA (1464 nucleotides) under Staphylococcus aureus. Its description in RNAcentral is "bacterial SSU rRNA". It matches the Rfam family "Bacterial small subunit ribosomal RNA". The record is from RNAcentral. Lineage: Bacteria; Bacillati; Bacillota; Bacilli; Caryophanales; Staphylococcaceae.
CUGUGACGCUGGCGGCGUGCCUAAUACAUGCAAGUCGAGCGAACGGACGAGAAGCUUGCUUCUCUGAUGUUAGCGGCGGACGGGUGAGUAACACGUGGAUAACCUACCUAUAAGACUGGGAUAACUUCGGGAAACCGGAGCUAAUACCGGAUAAUAUUUUGAACCGCAUGGUUCAAAAGUGAAAGACGGUCUUGCUGUCACUUAUAGAUGGAUCCGCGCUGCAUUAGCUAGUUGGUAAGGUAACGGCUUACCAAGGCAACGAUGCAUAGCCGACCUGAGAGGGUGAUCGGCCACACUGGAACUGAGACACGGUCCAGACUCCUACGGGAGGCAGCAGUAGGGAAUCUUCCGCAAUGGGCGAAAGCCUGACGGAGCAACGCCGCGUGAGUGAUGAAGGUCUUCGGAUCGUAAAACUCUGUUAUUAGGGAAGAACAUAUGUGUAAGUAACUGUGCACAUCUUGACGGUACCUAAUCAGAAAGCCACGGCUAACUACGUGCCAGCAGCCGCGGUAAUACGUAGGUGGCAAGCGUUAUCCGGAAUUAUUGGGCGUAAAGCGCGCGUAGGCGGUUUUUUAAGUCUGAUGUGAAAGCCCACGGCUCAACCGUGGAGGGUCAUUGGAAACUGGAAAACUUGAGUGCAGAAGAGGAAAGUGGAAUUCCAUGUGUAGCGGUGAAAUGCGCAGAGAUAUGGAGGAACACCAGUGGCGAAGGCGACUUUCUGGUCUGUAACUGACGCUGAUGUGCGAAAGCGUGGGGAUCAAACAGGAUUAGAUACCCUGGUAGUCCACGCCGUAAACGAUGAGUGCUAAGUGUUAGGGGGUUUCCGCCCCUUAGUGCUGCAGCUAACGCAUUAAGCACUCCGCCUGGGGAGUACGACCGCAAGGUUGAAACUCAAAGGAAUUGACGGGGACCCGCACAAGCGGUGGAACAUGUGGUUUAAUUCGAAGCAACGCGAAGAACCUUACCAAAUCUUGACAUCCUUUGACAACUCUAGAGAUAGAGCUUUCCCCUUCGGGGGACAAAGUGACAGGUGGUGCAUGGUUGUCGUCAGCUCGUGUCGUGAGAUGUUGGGUUAAGUCCCGCAACGAGCGCAACCCUUAAGCUUAGUUGCCAUCAUUAAGUUGGGCACUCUAAGUUGACUGCCGGUGACAAACCGGAGGAAGGUGGGGAUGACGUCAAAUCAUCAUGCCCCUUAUGAUUUGGGCUACACACGUGCUACAAUGGACAAUACAAAGGGCAGCGAAACCGCGAGGUCAAGCAAAUCCCAUAAAGUUGUUCUCAGUUCGGAUUGUAGUCUGCAACUCGACUACAUGAAGCUGGAAUCGCUAGUAAUCGUAGAUCAGCAUGCUACGGUGAAUACGUUCCCGGGUCUUGUACACACCGCCCGUCACACCACGAGAGUUUGUAACACCCGAAGCCGGUGGAGUAACCUUUUAGGAGCUAGCCGUCGAAGGUGGGACAAAG